This 1086-nucleotide ribosomal RNA is filed under the name Salmonella enterica subsp. enterica serovar Enteritidis. Its description in RNAcentral is "bacterial SSU rRNA". It matches the Rfam family "Bacterial small subunit ribosomal RNA", at positions 98 to 1181 of the family's 1533-position model. Lineage: Bacteria; Pseudomonadati; Pseudomonadota; Gammaproteobacteria; Enterobacterales; Enterobacteriaceae. The record is from RNAcentral.
GCGGACGGGUGAGUAAUGUCUGGGAAACUGCCUGAUGGAGGGGGAUAACUACUGGAAACGGUGGCUAAUACCGCAUAACGUCGCAAGACCAAAGAGGGGGACCUUCGGGCCUCUUGCCAUCAGAUGUGCCCAGAUGGGAUUAGCUUGUUGGUGAGGUAACGGCUCACCAAGGCGGCGAUCCCUAGCUGGUCUGAGAGGAUGACCAGCCACACUGGAACUGAGACACGGUCCAGACUCCAACGGGAGGCAGCAGUGGGGAAUAUUGCACAAUGGGCGCAAGCCUGAUGCAGCCAUGCCGCGUGUAUGAAGAAGGCCUUCGGGUUGUAAAGUACUUUCAGCGGGGAGGAAGGUGUUGUGGUUAAUAACCGCAGCAAUUGACGUUACCCGCAGAAGAAGCACCGGCUAACUCCGUGCCAGCAGCCGCGGUAAUACGGAGGGUGCAAGCGUUAAUCGGAAUUACUGGGCGUAAAGCGCACGCAGGCGGUCUGUCAAGUCGGAUGUGAAAUCCCCGGGCUCAACCUGGGAACUGCAUUCGAAACUGGCAGGCUUGAGUCUUGUAGAGGGGGGUAGAAUUCCAGGUGUAGCGGUGAAAUGCGUAGAGAUCUGGAGGAAUACCGGUGGCGAAGGCGGCCCCCUGGACAAAGACUGACGCUCAGGUGCGAAAGCGUGGGGAGCAAACAGGAUUAGAUACCCUGGUAGUCCACGCCGUAAACGAUGUCUACUUGGAGGUUGUGCCCUUGAGGCGUGGCUUCCGGAGCUAACGCGUUAAGUAGACCGCCUGGGGAGUACGGCCGCAAGGUUAAAACUCAAAUGAAUUGACGGGGGCCCGCACAAGCGGUGGAGCAUGUGGUUUAAUUCGAUGCAACGCGAAGAACCUUACCUGGUCUUGACAUCCACAGAACUUUCCAGAGAUGGAUUGGUGCCUUCGGGAACUGUGAGACAGGUGCUGCAUGGCUGUCGUCAGCUCGUGUUGUGAAAUGUUGGGUUAAGUCCCGCAACGAGCGCAACCCUUAUCCUUUGUUGCCAGCGGUCCGGCCGGGAACUCAAAGGAGACUGCCAGUGAUAAACUGGAGGAAGGUGGGGAUG